Molecule: ribosomal RNA, 477 nt
Filed under: uncultured bacterium
Lineage: Bacteria
Description: partial 16S ribosomal RNA
Rfam family: Bacterial small subunit ribosomal RNA
Source: RNAcentral
GAUCAACGCUGGCGGCGUGCAUAACACAUGCAAGUCGAACGAUGACGAUUAAAGGAUUUCUUCGGAAUGAACUUAAUUGGAUUAGUGGCGGACGGGUGAUUAACGCCUGAUUAACCUUCCUUGUACAAGGGGAUAGCCGUUCGAUACUACGAAUAAUACCCUAUGACAUCAAGUAAUCGCAUUUUAAUUUGUUCAAGGAUUUAUCGGUAUAAGAUGGACUCGCGUCUGAUUAGCUUGUAGGUAGAGUAAAAGCCUACCAAGGCAACGAUCAGUAGCCGGCUUGGGGGAGUGUACGGGACUCUUGGGAGUGGGACAAGGCCCAGACUCCUACGGGAGGGAGCAGGGGGGAAUUUUGCACAAUGGGGGAAAGCCGGAUGCAGCGAGGCCGCGUGAUUUAGAAGGCCUGCGGGUUGUAAAAAUCUUUUGUAUGGGAAGAAAAUGACAGUACCAUACGAAUAAGGACCGGCUAAUUACGUG